RNAcentral lists this ribosomal RNA (468 nucleotides) under uncultured bacterium. Its description in RNAcentral is "partial 16S ribosomal RNA". It matches the Rfam family "Bacterial small subunit ribosomal RNA", at positions 28 to 507 of the family's 1533-position model. The record is from RNAcentral.
GACGAACGCUGGCGGCGUGCUUAACACAUGCAAGUCGAACGGAAAGGCCCUGCUUUUGUGGGGCGCUCGAGUGGCGAACGGGUGAGUAACACGUGAGUAACCUGCCCUUGACUUUGGGAUAACUUCAGGAAACUGGGGUUAAUACCGGAUAGGAGCUCCUGCUGCAUGGUGGGGGUUGGAAAGUUUCGGCGGUUGGGGAUGGACUCGCGGCUUAUCAGCUUGUUGGUGGGGUAGUGGCUUACCAAGGCUUUGACGGGUAGCCGGCCUGAGAGGGUGACCGGCCACAUUGGGACUGAGAUACGGCCCAGACUCCUACGGGAGGCAGCAGUGGGGAAUAUUGCACAAUGGGCGGAAGCCUGAUGCAGCAACGCCGCGUGCGGGAUGACGGCCUUCGGGUUGUAAACCGCUUUCGCCUGUGACGAAGCGUGAGUGACGGUAAUGGGUAAAGAAGCACCGGCUAACUACGUG